AGGACGAACGCUGGCGGCGUGCUUAACACAUGCAAGUCGAACGAGGCCCUACCUUCGGGUAGGUGACCUAGUGGCGAACGGGUGAGUAACACGUGGGCAACCUACCCUCAGCUCUGGGAUAACCCCGGGAAACCGGAGCUAAUACCGGAUAUGACCUUGAACGACAUCGUUCUUGGUGGAAAGUUUUUUCGGCUGAGGAUGGGCCCGCGGCCUAUCAGCUUGUUGGCGGGGUAAUGGCCCACCAAGGCGACGACGGGUAGCCGGCCUGAGAGGGCGAUCGGCCACACUGGGACUGAGACACGGCCCAGACUCCUACGGGAGGCAGCAGUGGGGAAUAUUGCGCAAUGGGCGAAAGCCUGACGCAGCGACGCCGCGUGAGGGAUGAAGGCCUUCGGGUUGUAAACCUCUUUCAGCAGGGACGAAGCGAAAGUGACGGUACUGCAGAAGAAGCACCGGCCAACUACGCGCCAGCAGCCGAC
This 479-nucleotide ribosomal RNA is filed under the name uncultured bacterium. RNAcentral's name for it is "SSU rRNA". It matches the Rfam family "Bacterial small subunit ribosomal RNA", at positions 26 to 518 of the family's 1533-position model. The record is from RNAcentral.